This 1522-nucleotide ribosomal RNA is filed under the name Shigella flexneri. Its description in RNAcentral is "bacterial SSU rRNA". It matches the Rfam family "Bacterial small subunit ribosomal RNA". The record is from RNAcentral. Lineage: Bacteria; Pseudomonadati; Pseudomonadota; Gammaproteobacteria; Enterobacterales; Enterobacteriaceae.
AGAGUUUGAUCAUGGCUCAGAUUGAACGCUGGCGGCAGGCCUAACACAUGCAAGUCGAACGGUGACAGGAAGCAGCUUGCUGCUUCGCUGACGAGUGGCGGACGGGUGAGUAAUGUCUGGGAAACUGCCUGAUGGAGGGGGAUAACUACUGGAAACGGUAGCUAAUACCGCAUAAUGUCGCAAGACCAAAGAGGGGGACCUUCGGGCCUCUUGCCAUCGGAUGUGCCCAGAUGGGAUUAGCUUGUUGGUGGGGUAACGGCUCACCAAGGCGACGAUCCCUAGCUGGUCUGAGAGGAUGACCAGCCACACUGGAACUGAGACACGGUCCAGACUCCUACGGGAGGCAGCAGUGGGGAAUAUUGCACAAUGGGCGCAAGCCUGAUGCAGCCAUGCCGCGUGUAUGAAGAAGGCCUUCGGGUUGUAAAGUACUUUCAGCGGGGAGGAAGGGAGUAAAGUUAAUACCUUUGCUCAUUGACGUUAUCCGCAGAAGAAGCACCGGCUAACUCCGUGCCAGCAGCCGCGGUAAUACGGAGGGUGCAAGCGUUAAUCGGAAUUACUGGGCGUAAAGCGCACGCAGGCGGUUUGUUAAGUCAGAUGUGAAAUCCCCGGGCUCAACCUGGGAACUGCAUCUGAUACUGGCAAGCUUGAGUCUCGUAGAGGGGGGUAGAAUUCCAGGUGUAGCGGUGAAAUGCGUAGAGAUCUGGAGGAAUACCGGUGGCGAAGGCGGCCCCCUGGACGAAGACUGACGCUCAGGUGCGAAAGCGUGGGGAGCAAACAGGAUUAGAUACCCUGGUAGUCCACGCCGUAAACGAUGUCGACUUGGAGGUUGUGCCCUUGAGGCGUGGCUUCCGGAGCUAACGCGUUAAGUCGACCGCCUGGGGAGUACGGCCGCAAGGUUAAAACUCAAAUGAAUUGACGGGGGCCCGCACAAGCGGUGGAGCAUGUGGUUUAAUUCGAUGCAACGCGAAGAACCUUACCUGGUCUUGACAUCCACGGAAGUUUUCAGAGAUGAGAAUGUGCCUUCGGGAACCGUGAGACAGGUGCUGCAUGGCUGUCGUCAGCUCGUGUUGUGAAAUGUUGGGUUAAGUCCCGCAACGAGCGCAACCCUUAUCCUUUGUUGCCAGCGGUCCGGCCGGGAACUCAAAGGAGACUGCCAGUGAUAAACUGGAGGAAGGUGGGGAUGACGUCAAGUCAUCAUGGCCCUUACGACCAGGGCUACACACGUGCUACAAUGGCGCAUACAAAGAGAAGCGACCUCGCAAGAGCAAGCGGACCUCAUAAAGUGCGUCGUAGUCCGGAUUGGAGUCUGCAACUCGACUCCAUGAAGUCGGAAUCGCUAGUAAUCGUGGAUCAGAAUGCCACGGUGAAUACGUUCCCGGGCCUUGUACACACCGCCCGUCACACCAUGGGAGUGGGUUGCAAAAGAAGUAGGUAGCUUAACCUUCGGGAGGGCGCUUACCACUUUGUGAUUCAUGACUGGGGUGAAGUCGUAACAAGGUAACCGUAGGGGAACCUGCGGUUG